AGCUGUAGCUCUGAUUAGACCCCUAUCCUGGGACCCUCCAUAUGCUGCGGGUGCAGCCCUAUAAAGAACAAAAAAAAAAAAAAAAAAAAAUCUGAAAACCUAGAAAGUCUAGGGUACAAUGUUCAUUAUUAUUCUGAUUAUACAGAGAAGAACAGAUACUUUAUUGGUUGUCCUUCCAAGUAAUAUCUUUAACUCUCUCAUGGGGAAAACAGGGCCCUGGAUGCAUUUCUUGAUGGACAGCAUGACAGCCUAGAGGCUACAUAUGAUCCACAGACAGGUUUUGUUUGGCCACAUGGUAUUUCUAAAUUUUGAAUUUGAAUGCUUCUGGGCAAGGGUCCACCUUUCCAGUUGGCUACUGUACUCAUUUCUCUACACUGUCUCACAUAAUCCUGAAUCAGCCCUUAAACUCCCAAUCCUUGGAUUCAUGGACCUCUCAAGGAUUCACCUGUUUUAGUGAACUAGAUUUUAACCAUCAUGGAUAAACAGACAUGCUAACUAGAAUGUGAAGCUGCCAUCAGGCCCCUUCCUAAAUGAUGCAUCCACCUGGAUGCUAUCCACCCCUUACCUGUGGCUUCUUUGAAAUCAGGCCCUCAAAGAAUGUUUAGAAAGGCUGUCUUGUGCUUUAUGAACAGCAUGGAAACAUACUAACCCUCAGUCAGUUGGUGCUGCUAUAAUAAAGGAUUGCAGACGGAAUGGGACUGGGCUGCUUGUGAACAAGUUGAUUUAUUUUCCACAGUUCCAGAGCCUCGAUGUCCAUAAUCCAGGUGCCAACCUCAUCAGGUUUGGGUGAGGGUCCUCUUCCUGGUGGGUGACUGCCUACUUCUGAUGUACCCUCACAUGGCAGAGAGCAGAGGGGGCCGGCAAGCUCUUGCAUGAUGCUUAUAAGGGCACAAAACUCUUAUCUGAGGGUUCCACCUCAUAACCUCACCAAAACGUAUCUAUCCCUGAAGGCCUAACCUCUUAAUAUGAUCACAUCCUGGGCACAGUGUUUCAGCAUAAAUUUCAGCAUAUGGGGACAAAAACAUUCCAUCCAUAACACAUAGCUUGUGGUGGUUGCUAUUUAUUGAAUGCCUAGAACAUACCAGAAAAUAUGCUGUUUAUAAGCACCCUUAAUCUUCUUAACAGUCCUAGAAAGCUAUCACCAUAUCCCACUUAUAAAUGGUCAAACAAACACAAAAGGAUUAACUAAUUUAAGUGAACAAAUAUUUAUUGAGCACCUAGUAUCUGCCAGGCUCUGGGCCAAGAGCUGCCACUGCCAAAGCCUCAUCCUUUCCUUGGUACCACAUUCCCCUCUGCCACACAGGAUCCUCUAUUUUAUGCUCCCUCCAUCUCCCAAUAAAGGCACCCCUGUUCAAGGGCUUGCUUAAUCCACUACUAUUCCAUUUAAAUUAAUGAAUUAGUUAAUCAGUUUCAAUAUUUAAAUAAAUCUGGACUAAUAUUUUUUUUUGUCUUUUUGUCUAUUUAGGGCCGUACCCACGGCAUACGGAGGUUCCCAAGCUGGUGGUUGAACGGGAACUACAGCCACCAGCCUACACCACAGCCACAGAAUGCCAGAUCUGAGUGGUGUCUACAACCUACACCACAACUCACGGCAAUGCUGGAUCCUUAACCCACUGAGUGAGGCCAGGGAACGAACCCGCAUCCUCACGGAUGCUAUUUGGGUUUGUUAACCGCUGAGCCAUGACAGGAACUCCCCAAAUCUGGAACAAUAUUAACGAAGAAGUAUGACUGAAGGAUUGGAUUUGGGUUAGGGACGGAUGUGGAUACAGAGGCCCUUUUGUACAAUUUACCAGAACAAAGAUACACAUCGUCUUUUCUUUUUUAUCUCCAUCCUUCUUUGUCUAGCUGCUAACUACAUGAAGGAACUAGGAAACUGAAAUGGAUAAUCAAAGAGGGCAAUUUUACCACUUAAAUAAUACAGAAAAUAGUCAAUGAGAAAGAUAACCUAGAAAUCAUAAAGACAAUAGGUUAAUCUGAUAUCAAGCCUCCCUGUGUAAGUGGAUCUCGGUACCUUGGCACCAAACAGGUGUUCCCAGGCAGAAAAAGUAACAGGAAGCCUUGAGUUUUACUCCAGAACAUAGCUCCCUUUCAAGUCUCCCCUGCGUUAGAUGUUCCCACUGAUCUUUUUAGGGCUCGAUUUCUUCAGUGGUCCUGAAGGUGCGUGAAAGGAGACACUCUCUGGUUCUCCUGCCAUAGACCCAGUCUCUAAAAGAAAAAUAUCUUGAUUCUGGGAAAUGGCUGUGGAACAUGGCGUAUUGCUAUUAGUUGCUCUUGAAUAAUGUCACGAGUGAAUUACCCACUUUGGAUGGUCCAUGCAUUUAUUCAACACAUUCAAAGCUAGUAAGCACUUCCCAUACGCUUAGAGCUCAAAUAGAUCUCAGCCCAUAGCUGUUAACAAAUGAACAAGGGCCCUCCCUUCAUGGAACGUACGUGCUAAUUAACAAUAGACAAUAAACAAGCAGUAUUCGCCUUCUGCUCAGAAAUAUGAUUGAAGAAACCCAGGACGAUGACGUCACACUAAACUGGUUGACAGAGGCUUGGUGCGCUCAUUGGACUUAUGAAAAAAGUAGAGAGAAUUAAGCAAGUUCCAACUGUCAGAAUUCAAUUUCAAGCUGUCUAGGACACCAACACCAUUUUCCUAAAAUUAACCUUGCCUUUGUGAACCAAGAAGUCCUCUCAUACUUGGUUCUGAUCAGCAAAAUUAAACUUCUUUCAAGUGCAAGAGUUCUUUUCUCUCAUCUCCCAUUCAGAGAAGUUAGGACAAAGUACAGUAGGCAAAGGAUUUCACGAAAGACAAUAGCGUGAAAAUUAAUGCCCAAAUCACCAGCAAAAAAGUAUUUUUUUUUCCCCGAAGGAAAAAACUACACUGUAAAGGUGAGCCAUGUGUUGGGAAGAUUCUGAAUGGGGAUAGAAACCAGGACACAUUUAAGGAAAUUGCCUCCAGUAACUUGGAUAAGAAUGACUCACAAGGAAGAUUUGCAACGUUUCUGUGCAAACUGGACCUAACACAAAGAGAUUCUCUCUCUCUUUGAAAAGAGUAGGUUCUAAAAUGUUUUUGAAUCUGUUCAAAUAAGAUGAGGAGAUAUGCAACCAGAUAAUAAGAGCUUGGCGUUUCUCAUCUCUUUCUCAACAGAACAGGUGAAUCAUGUGGUUCCUGCAUUUCCAACUGUCUCAGUGUUAAACUCACGGGUACGCACAUGGCUGCCUGACAUUUAUGUGGUUGUAAAGGUAAACGUUGAAGCCCGAUGAUAUGGUUCAAUUAUUCUCCCUCCCAGUGAUGAGACCAGCCCUCAGCACCCAUCUUACCAAACUGGCUCAGUGUGGCUUCACGCUGAUUUUCUACUAGCACCUGCUACGAGGAACUGAGCCCCGACCAGCCACAAAAAUCAUCUUCCACUGGUUGAUUCCCUGGACACUUCACAAACGGUUUAGAGUGGGAACACACAUGAAAUGAACGUGUGUUCAUAUAUAGGGAGUUUACUGAAGAUUUAGGGACGUAUAAAAAGAAAAAUAAGCAAACUAAGAUGUUCAGAAGCUAAGCCCUACAGCUAUAAAAGUACUCAUUCCAAGUGCUCUUUGGCAAAUUCAAAGUGAGAAACAGUAUGAAUAUAUAACCGUCCACAUUAGAUUGGGCACAAAACACUAUACUAUUAAGCCAUCAAAACUGGUGAUUAGUGAAUCAAGAAAAAUGUUCACCAUGAUGAUCAAUGUAAGUGUAGUAAAAUUCACUGAGG
This 3734-nucleotide long non-coding RNA is filed under the name Sus scrofa (pig). Its description in RNAcentral is "lncRNA (ENSSSCG00000053189.1)". Lineage: Eukaryota; Metazoa; Chordata; Mammalia; Artiodactyla; Suidae. The record is from RNAcentral.